RNAcentral lists this ribosomal RNA (497 nucleotides) under uncultured bacterium. Its description in RNAcentral is "partial 16S ribosomal RNA". It matches the Rfam family "Bacterial small subunit ribosomal RNA", at positions 28 to 507 of the family's 1533-position model. The record is from RNAcentral.
GAUGAACGCUGGCGGCGUGCCUAAUACAUGCAAGUCGAGCGAACAGACGAGGAGCUUGCUCCUCUGACGUUAGCGGCGGACGGGUGAGUAACACGUGGAUAACCUACCUAUAAGACUGGGAUAACUUCGGGAAACCGGAGCUAAUACCGGAUAAUAUAUUGAACCGCAUGGUUCAAUAGUGAAAGACGGUUUUGCUGUCACUUAUAGAUGGAUCCGCGCCGCAUUAGCUAGUUGGUAAGGUAACGGCUUACCAAGGCAACGAUGCGUAGCCGACCUGAGAGGGUGAUCGGCCACACUGGAACUGAGACACGGUCCAGACUCCUACGGGAGGCAGCAGUAGGGAAUCUUCCGCAAUGGGCGAAAGCCUGACGGAGCAACGCCGCGUGAGUGCUGAAGGUCUUCUGAUCGUAAAACUCUGUUAUUAGGGAAGAACAAAUGUGUAAGUAACUAUGCACGUCUUGACGGUACCUAAUCAGAAAGCCACGGCUAACUACGUG